CAGAGACAAGAACGAGGUCCGCCCUCCGUUGCUGGGACUUGGACCAACUCCCAGUGUGAAACUCUACGUAAAAGUAUAGACCAUGGAAGCGCAGGCGAUCCAAGUCAAACCACCUAAAACUUUUGGUCUUAUGAUGUCUUUUAACCUUCCACUGAACAGCACAAGUCAUGUGGAGAACCCAAAGUCAAAGGGGGUAGGGGGCCCAUGCUCCGCAUGCCAGUGAGCCAUGGCAAAGACAGGGAAGACGCAGACUCUCGGACAGAUGUUCAUGCAGAGCUCACCUCCACAGGAGUGAUUUCCCAU
Chinchilla lanigera (long-tailed chinchilla) is the source of this 303-nucleotide long non-coding RNA. RefSeq lists it as uncharacterized. NCBI's taxonomy places the organism in Eukaryota, Metazoa, Chordata, Mammalia, Rodentia, Chinchillidae. The transcript has 3 exons. The record is from RefSeq and is a predicted model, not a curated record.